GUGUCAGCAGCCGCGGUAAGACGAACCGUGCGAACGUUAUUCGGAUUCACUGGGCUUAAAGCGCGUGUAGGCGGGCCGAUGCGUCCGUGGCUGAAAUCCCCCGGCUCAACCGGGGAACGGGCCCGGAUACGAUCGGCCUGGAGGGGCGUAGGGGGAGCUGGAACUUCCGGUGGAGCGGUGAAAUGCGUUGAGAUCGGAAGGAACGCCCGUGGCGAAAGCGAGCUCCUGGACGCCUUCUGACGCUGAGACGCGAAAGCCAGGGGAGCGAACGGGAUUAGAUACCCCAGUAGUCC
RNAcentral lists this ribosomal RNA (293 nucleotides) under uncultured bacterium. RNAcentral's name for it is "partial 16S ribosomal RNA". It matches the Rfam family "Bacterial small subunit ribosomal RNA", at positions 505 to 796 of the family's 1533-position model. The record is from RNAcentral.